GUCUACAGCCAUAACCACCCUGAACACACCGAGCUCAUCUGAUCUCUGAAGCUAAACAGGGUCAGGCCUGGUUAGUACUUGGAUGGAAGAAGGUGACACCUGUAAGAGAGGCAGUAUGAGAGCAGGGGACC
Molecule: ribosomal RNA, 131 nt
Organism: Erinaceus europaeus (western European hedgehog)
Lineage: Eukaryota; Metazoa; Chordata; Mammalia; Eulipotyphla; Erinaceidae
Source: Ensembl